This 940-nucleotide ribosomal RNA is filed under the name uncultured Bacteroidota bacterium. RNAcentral describes it as "bacterial SSU rRNA". It matches the Rfam family "Bacterial small subunit ribosomal RNA", at positions 556 to 1533 of the family's 1533-position model. The record is from RNAcentral. Lineage: Bacteria; Pseudomonadati; Bacteroidota.
GGGUUUAAGGGUUCGUAGGCUGUUAGAUAAGUCAGAGCUGAAAUUUUGUCGCUUAACGAUAAAACUGGCUUUGAUACUGUUUGACUAGAAUUAUUGUGAAGUAGUUAGAAUGUGUAGUGUAGCGGUGAAAUGCAUAGAUAUUACACAGAAUACCGAUUGCGAAGGCAGAUUACUAACAAUACAUUGACGCUGAUGAACGAAAGCGUGGGUAGCGAACGGGAUUAGAUACCCCGGUAGUCCACGCCGUAAACGAUGGAUACUAGUUGUUGGAAUUAUUCAGUGACUAAGCGAAAGUGAUAAGUAUCCCACCUGGGGAGUACGGUCGCAAGAUUGAAACUCAAAGGAAUUGACGGGGGCCCGCACAAGCGGUGGAGCAUGUGGUUUAAUUCGAUGAUACGCGAGGAACCUUACCAGGGCUUAAAUGUAUGACGACAGGUUUAGAGAUAGACUUUUCUUCGGACGUUAUACAAGGUGCUGCAUGGUUGUCGUCAGCUCGUGCCGUGAGGUGUCAGGUUAAGUCCUAUAACGAGCGCAACCCCUAUCGUUAGUUGCCAUCAUUUAGUUGGGGACUCUAGCGAGACUGCCAGUGCAAACUGCGAGGAAGGUGGGGAUGACGUCAAAUCAUCACGGCCCUUACGUCCUGGGCUACACACGUGCUACAAUGGUAUAUACAGAGAGCAGCCAACUGGCAACAGUGCGCGAAUCUACAAAGUAUAUCACAGUUCGGAUUGGAGUCUGCAACUCGACUCCAUGAAGCUGGAAUCGCUAGUAAUCGCAUAUCAGCCAUGAUGCGGUGAAUACGUUCCCGGGCCUUGUACACACCGCCCGUCAAGCCAUGGAAGCUGGGGGUGCCUGAAGUCGGUGAGCGCAAGCAGCUGCCUANGGUAAAACUGGUAACUAGGGCUAAGUCGUAACAAGGUAACCAUCUUUCUAGAANAUC